GAUGAACGCUGGCGGCGUGCCUAAUACAUGCCAGUCGAGCGAACAGACGAGGAGCUUGCUCCUCUGACGUUAGCGGCGGACGGGUGAGUAACACGUGGAUAACCUACCUAUAAGACUGGGAUAACUUCGGGAAACCGGAGCUAAUACCGGAUAAUAUAUUGAACCGCAUGGUUUAAUAGUGAAAGACGGUUUUGCUGUCACUUAUAGAUGGAUCCGCGCCGCAUUAGCUAGUUGGUAAGGUAACGGCUUACCAAGGCAACGAUGCGUAGCCGACCUGAGAGGGUGAUCGGCCACACUGGAACUGAGACACGGUCCAGACUCCUACGGGAGGCAGCAGUAGGGAAUCUUCCGCAAUGGGCGAAAGCUUGACGGAGCAACGCCGCGUGAGUGAUGAAGGUCUUCGGAUCGUAAAACUCUGUUAUUAGGGAAGAACAAAUGUGUAAGUAACUAUGCACGUCUUGACGGUACCUAAUCAGAAAGCCACGGCUAACUACGUG
Molecule: ribosomal RNA, 497 nt
Filed under: uncultured bacterium
Lineage: Bacteria
Description: partial 16S ribosomal RNA
Rfam family: Bacterial small subunit ribosomal RNA
Source: RNAcentral